RNAcentral lists this ribosomal RNA (411 nucleotides) under Triticum aestivum (bread wheat). Its description in RNAcentral is "partial small subunit ribosomal RNA". The record is from RNAcentral. Lineage: Eukaryota; Viridiplantae; Streptophyta; Magnoliopsida; Poales; Poaceae.
AUGAUCCUACGCGACAGCAAUGGAGCUAUAAUCUUUGCAUCGUGCAGACUACUGACCACAUGUGCAAGUGCUCUGGAGGCGGAAGUAGCUGCGUGCAUGGAAGGAAUCGCUCUCACCCUUGAGUGGUCUACGUUGCCUUUCAUUUUGGAAACUGAUAGUACCAUUGCUGCAAGCAUGAUUGGUGACAGUGAGCAAAAUAAAUCCCCUGUUGCUGCACUAGUUGAUGAAGCUAAGCGGCUUCUAGCACUAGGUCGUGAGUACGUGUUAUCACGUGUUAGUAGAAGUAAGAAUAAAGCUAGUCACGCCCUAGCCCAGCUAGGGAUCUCUGAACCACGUACUGCUGUGUGGCUUCGUCAUGGACCUGAUGAUAUUGGCGUCAUUUGCCAACAGGAUUGUACUGAUCUUUCUUAA